This 72-nucleotide transfer RNA is filed under the name Anaerolineae bacterium. RNAcentral describes it as "tRNA-Arg". It matches the Rfam family "tRNA". Rfam says of the family: Transfer RNA (tRNA) molecules are approximately 80 nucleotides in length. Their secondary structure includes four short double-helical elements and three loops (D, anti-codon, and T loops). Lineage: Bacteria; Bacillati; Chloroflexota; Anaerolineae. The record is from RNAcentral.
GCCCCCAUAGCUCAGUGGAUAGAGCGGCGGACUCCUAAGCCGUGCGCCUGGGUUCGAUUCCCAGUGGGGGUA